RNAcentral lists this ribosomal RNA (375 nucleotides) under Staphylococcus aureus. RNAcentral describes it as "bacterial SSU rRNA". It matches the Rfam family "Bacterial small subunit ribosomal RNA", at positions 60 to 424 of the family's 1533-position model. The record is from RNAcentral. Lineage: Bacteria; Bacillati; Bacillota; Bacilli; Caryophanales; Staphylococcaceae.
AGUCGAGCGAACGGACGAGAAGCUUGCUUCUCUGAUGUUAGCGGCGGACGGGUGAGUAACACGUGGAUAACCUACCUAUAAGACUGGGAUAACUUCGGGAAACCGGAGCUAAUACCGGAUAAUAUUUUGAACCGCAUGGUUCAAAAGUGAAAGACGGUCUUGCUGUCACUUAUAGAUGGAUCCGCGCUGCAUUAGCUAGUUGGUAAGGUAACGGCUUACCAAGGCAACGAUGCAUAGCCGACCUGAGAGGGUGAUCGGCCACACUGGAACUGAGACACGGUCCAGACUCCUACGGGAGGCAGCAGUAGGGAAUCUUCCGCAAUGGGCGAAAGCCUGACGGAGCAACGCCGCGUGAGUGAUGAAGGUCUUCGGAUC